RNAcentral lists this ribosomal RNA (336 nucleotides) under Gasteracantha cancriformis. RNAcentral describes it as "partial large subunit ribosomal RNA". It matches the Rfam family "Bacterial large subunit ribosomal RNA", at positions 1928 to 2539 of the family's 2925-position model. Lineage: Eukaryota; Metazoa; Arthropoda; Arachnida; Araneae; Araneidae. The record is from RNAcentral.
UAGCCGCAGAAAUUUAACUGUGCUAAGGUAGCAUAAUCAUUAGCUCUUUAAUUAAGAGCUCGUAUGAAAGGUUAAACAUUAUAUAUACUAUAACCUUUUUAAUAAAUCAAAAUUUAAUUAAGAAUCAAAAUGUUCUUAUUAUAUAAAUAGACGAUAAGACCCUAUUGAACUUUACUUUAGUUUAACUGGGGCAGUUAACUAAUAAUAAUCUUAAUUAACCUCUUUUUAUAAAAAUCCAAUCUAUUUGAAUUUGAAUAAGUUACCAUAGGGAUAACAGCGUAAUUUGUUUCUAAAGUUCUUAUUUAAAAACAAGAUUGCGACCUCGAUGUUGAAUUA